GGAGUAGGUCGGGUAAUCGCCGGUAAUCCAUUGGAUUGCGGGAGGAAAGUCCGAGCUCGAUAGGAUAGGGUGCUGGCUAACGGCCAGGCGAGGCGACUCGACGGAAAGUGCCACAGAAAAAAAACGGCCAUCCUUAACGCUCUUUGGGUGUGAGAUGGUCACGGUGAAAAGGUGCGGUAAGAGCGCACCGCGGUGGCGGCAACGUUCACUGGCAAGGUAAACCCCACCUGGAGCAAUGCCAAAUAGGGACCCGUGUUUCGAGCAAUCGAAAUGCUACUGAUCCGGUGGUCAGGGUUCGGGUAGGCAGCUGGAGCGGCAGAGUAAUUUGUCGCCUAGAUGAAUGAUUACACAAAAACAGAACUCGGCUUAUAGACCUACUCCGCUU
This 385-nucleotide RNase P RNA is filed under the name Deltaproteobacteria bacterium. Its description in RNAcentral is "RNase P RNA component class A". It matches the Rfam family "Bacterial RNase P class A". From Rfam's summary of the family: Ribonuclease P (RNase P) is a ubiquitous endoribonuclease, found in archaea, bacteria and eukarya as well as chloroplasts and mitochondria. Its best characterised activity is the generation of mature 5'-ends of tRNAs by cleaving the 5'-leader elements of precursor-tRNAs. Lineage: Bacteria; Pseudomonadati; Myxococcota; Myxococcia. The record is from RNAcentral.